CGCGAGUGCCAGUUCGUGAGCGUGCGCGUCUUCGCUGCCGCCGGUGCUGCUUCCGCCGUCCUCUGCCGCUGCUACCGCUGUCGCCGCCCCGGAUCCUCAGGCCGAGCGGUAAGACGGCCGGCUGCCCAGCAGCGCCGCGGUACGGAGAGCGGAGCCGCGGGACCGGUGGACAGGCGGGCGGGCCGACAGAUUAACCUAACAUGGCUGACCAGAGGCAGCGCUCACUCUCUACCUCCGGGGAAUCGUUAUAUCAUGUUCUAGGGCUGGACAAGAAUGCAACCUCGGAUGACAUUAAAAAGUCCUAUCGGAAGCUGGCCCUGAAAUAUCACCCUGACAAGAACCCCGAUAACCCAGAGGCUGCAGACAAGUUUAAGGAGAUUAACAACGCCCACGCCAUCCUGACAGAUGCCACGAAAAGAAACAUUUAUGACAAGUACGGUUCACUGGGGCUCUAUGUGGCCGAGCAAUUUGGGGAAGAAAACGUCAACACCUACUUCGUACUCUCCAGCUGGUGGGCCAAGGCACUGUUUGUUGUCUGUGGACUCCUCACGUGCUGCUACUGCUGCUGCUGCUUGUGCUGUUGCUUUAACUGCUGCUGUGGGAAGUGCAAGCCCAAGGCACCUGAGGGUGAGGAGACGGAAUUCUACGUAUCACCUGAAGACCUGGAGGCACAGCUGCAGUCUGAUGAGAGGGGAGGGCACUGACACUGUGCCGAGAGUGUUUGUGGUGGCAUCUGGGACUGUUGAGGUGUGAACGUGGACACUUGAGAGGCUACAGACACACCAAUCGUCAUACAGCCAGCAUCUGCCACAGAGACCACCCAGCUGACGGCUGACUCCCACCCCAGCUACCACACCGACGGGUUCAACUAAAUUCAUGAGAGGCUGUGAUUAGAGGAUGAAUCAGCACCUGGCCACUGCAACCUUAGAAUCAUGAACUGUAGUCACUGAGAUGGGGAGGCAGCCGUCAACCUGACCUGCUAUGGCUGGCCAGGGCCCCUCCCACCUCCUCUAAGCCCACCCAUCUGUCAAACCUUGAUACACGAAGUGCGUAGCAUGCAGUAUUUAAAGCAGUGUAGCUACGGUCUUCUUCUGUUUUAUCCUUUUUUUAAUAGCAUGUAUGGGUUAUGUUCAGUGUCUGUGUUGUGGAUGUGCUGCAACUGGGCUGAAUUAACUGGAUGAUAGUGCUUUCUUGGGUUUUCAGCCAAGUGGGUCCAGUGAGGCUCAGCUGUCUCCUUGUGCUUACAGGAGUCAGGUAGGCACCUGGAGCUACUUCUCCAUGUUGGCCUCUGUGUCCUGUGUCAUGGUCUAGUCCAUGGCUCUGAUCUCAUCCUCAAGGCUGCAGACAGGGUUCUGAUUUCACCUGCGAAGGAGGGAGCUGGGCCCCAUCCUCCCAGGCACCACCAGCAUCAGUCGUUUGCACGGUGUUCGUGUUGGGAAGCUUUCAUAGGGUCUCUGCAUCAUCGCUCGGCCUCGUGACAGUUUUCCUGUGUUAGAUCUGCUAUGGAGAGUGCAGGUAUGCCCCUUCUGAAAGUGGGAGCACACGCUGUGUAAUGUUUCCAUCUUGGGUCUCCUGGCCUUGUGGACUGAGAUCCUGUCAUUGGAGGCAUGUCCUUUGCUGGUGUUUGGGAAAUCAUUUGUCUCUGUUCUGCACCUUUCCAGGUCAAAAGCUGGAUUGACGGGGCCACAGCCUCCUUCCCUCAUUCCUGGGUCAUCUUCCACAUUCCUUCAAGCCAACCUUUUUAAUCUUGUUUUUGGACUUUAAGAACCACAAAUGGUAGCACCUGUCACUUAGUCAUAGUCAAAAAGUCUUUGAGUCCAGUUCUGGGUGGCAUAUAGCUGCUUAUAAAGAGUUUGAGUGCCCAGGAUCCAGAGCCUCCUCCCUGUGCUUGUCAGAGCUCCACCCACCCCACCCCCCACUUGCCUUCGCUUCCACUUGUCAUCAUCAAUGCCUCUGGCAGAGCUGAGGUGUUGGGUGCCUGGGGCAAGUGAGUGGUCCCUGGUGACCCUGGAUCAGGAGGGUUGGCUUCUAGGGAAGCUAUGGUAACAGUCAUUCAACCUGGAAUGCCAGUUGCAGGCCACAGAAUUCCUUUGUGAACCUCUCUCUAGUCAGUAUUUCAGUCUUGGUCACAGGGUACCAUGGUGGGUGGAGUUGGAAAAUGUGGUUACCAGGGAUUUGGAACUACCCCACCCUUUUACAGUUAGCUGGAUUAGCUGCACCAGACUUCAGUGAGCCAGGUUCCUCCAGAGCCUUCCUGCUGGCUGCUGCUGACCAUCUGCAUUUCCAGUACAGAUGAAGAAGGAGAAAGCUCAUGUGGUGGCUCAGUGGCUCAGACAAACCACCAUGCGUUUCCGAAACCCACCCUGUCCACCUCCUGGCCACAGCUCACCAGGGCCUUCAGGGACCAGAUCAGGCUGGCAGGAAGUUGCAAGAAGAGGCAGCAGACCUGGCAGUGAUUGAGGGUUCCUAUCCAGGUCCUGGGAAACAUUGAUGCCAGGGUUCCCAGCUGACCCUGUAGGAGAACUACAUGAGCUGAAAGCUGGCGUCAAGAUCCUUUCCCGGGUUCGUUAGUGUUUGUUCUUUAAAGAAUGUAGGGAUAUUCAUUAAUAUAUUAAGUUAGAAAUAAUCUGCAAACAUCAGACCUAUGGCUAGAUGUAGUGGGACAUGCAUGCCUGUAAUCCCAGCAGUAGAGCGACUGAGGUAGGAGGACCCUUGAGUUGUAGGCCAGUCAGGCUUUACAUGGUAAGACCCCAACUCAAGCAAACCUGGUGGAAGAAAGGAAAUUCGUUACUGGACCCAUUGUUGGAACAGUGGAAGAAGAGAGGCCACUGGGCAACCUGGGGUGCUGGUCUCAGUACACUAGUCUUGGUGCCCUUUUACCACAACAACCAGGAACCAGGUUCAGAGUUGUAGGCGAUGAGUGAAGAGCUGAUCUGGUAGCACAGCCCUCCUGCAUGUAGCUCUGUGGCCCUUUCCCUCACAUCCUAGUGAGCAGACCCUGGACUGGGACUGGUCGUGCUGAUGGGGCGAGAGCACAGAAGUUGAACCUAGUGUCAUUUGCAAUUUGUAAAGCUAAAUAAAUCAUGUUGAAUUUGAAACCAUCGAUAUGUAGAACAGUUUCAAGGCGAUGAUAAUAGUGAUUGCCAAGGCCAGUGAACUCCCUCUUCUAUCCCUGUAUGCAGACUCCUGCAGGGUUUUACUGUGUUGGUGUAAGGUCUCCUUGAUUUCAUCUGACUUGACCUAAGCAUAACUGGUGAAUCUCAGGAUCAGCCUGAUUAUUCCUGACCAAAUACUAUUAAAUAUAAACACACACACACACACACAGACACACACACACUCCCCAAACUACUAUACUGGUAAGCAGUGUAGAUGGUGCUGUGGUGUAUUGCCAAGGAAGUGCUGGAGUCUGUGCAUGGAAGUUCAUCCAGUGCAGUGGAUAUCCCUUCAGGACCAGAAACUGACCGCUUCUGAGAGACCCUGGGGACCCAUCUCACCAAGACUAGAGUGUAGAUUUCUGUUUGUGCCCAAUGAUGUGGUCUUUCCUUGUCUUCCUUUUGACUGUAUUUUUAAAUUACUUUAGAUAAUUCUGUGCAAUGUUUAUAACCUUUCCUAGUCUUACAAUGUUUGGUUAACACAGCCAGCACCCAAUGGGGAAAUCAGUACUUACUGUGGUUCGCAGGAAACUUUUCCAAAUUGUUGGUUGCUGGGUUUGUUCCUGAGUCAUGAUGCCAGUCUUUUCUCAGAUGAUCAGAUGCCAGGUUUUACUAACAUCGGUGCCCAUUGUCCUGCUGACCCAUGGCUUUUAUUCCAGGUGAACCUUGUGCAAAGGAGCUGCCAUUGUUGCAGCUGGUAGUCUCCAGAGAUGGUGACCCAAUCAUUCAAGCUGUCCCUGGAGGGUCUAGGUGCUGUGGUACGGAGAGCUGGUGGGCCAUGACCAUCUUCCUCUGGCUUUCAAUGCACUUUUUAUUGAGGGAUAGCUGUGAACAAUGUAAAACAUGACUGAUCUCAUUCUCUUCCCAGUGUUUUGAGCUGUGAACCCAUGUGUCCCAGCACUGGCCUAUUCUUUUAUUUUGGUUGAGUUAUCCUCCUAUGGAAAUAGCAAAAGCUACAUCUUUACUAUCCUCACUAGCACGGUAUGUGUUGUCACAUGCUGUGAGUGUGGGCUAUGGUGUGUGUUGGUGUGUGUACAUAUGUGUAUAUGUAUAUAUCACGCAGCAGGCCUGUCAUGCUGCUGUUUGGUGGCAAAGCAACAAGUACAAUAAAAGUCGGCUCCAAAACA
This is an RNA transcript of Phodopus roborovskii (desert hamster), 4279 nucleotides long. It is a transcript of the gene named DnaJ heat shock protein family (Hsp40) member C5, with no coding region annotated. The transcript is spliced from 6 exons. The record is from RefSeq and is a predicted model, not a curated record. Lineage: Eukaryota; Metazoa; Chordata; Mammalia; Rodentia; Cricetidae.